GCGACUGUGGCUCAGUAGGAAGAGUAGUCGUCUUGCAAUCAGAAGGCUGUGGGUUCGAUUCCAACUUCCUCCGGCCAUA
This is a non-coding RNA of Crenichthys baileyi (White River springfish), 79 nucleotides long. The record is from the annotation of a GenBank genome assembly. NCBI's taxonomy places the organism in Eukaryota, Metazoa, Chordata, Actinopteri, Cyprinodontiformes, Goodeidae.